This 433-nucleotide ribosomal RNA is filed under the name uncultured bacterium. Its description in RNAcentral is "partial 16S ribosomal RNA". It matches the Rfam family "Bacterial small subunit ribosomal RNA", at positions 29 to 507 of the family's 1533-position model. The record is from RNAcentral.
AACGAACGCUGGCGGCAUGCCUAACACAUGCAAGUCGAACGAGACCUUCGGGUCUAGUGGCGCACGGGUGCGUAACGCGUGGGAACCUGCCCUUAGGUUCGGAAUAACUCCCCGAAAGGGGUGCUAAUACCGGAUAAUGUCUUCGGACCAAAGAUUUAUCGCCUUUGGAUGGGCCCGCGUUGGAUUAGCUAGUUGGUAGGGUAAAAGCCUACCAAGGCGAGGUUCCAUAGCUGGUCUGAGAGGAUGAUCAGCCACACUGGGACUGAGACACGGCCCAGACUCCUACGGGAGGCAGCAGUGGGGAAUAUUGGACAAUGGGCGAGAGCCUGAUCCAGCAAUGCCGCGUGAGUGAUGAAGGCCUUAGGGUUGUAAAGCUCUUUUACCCGGGAUGAUAAUGACAGUACCGGGAGAAGAAGCUCCGGCUAACUACGUG